RNAcentral lists this non-coding RNA (30 nucleotides) under Mus musculus (house mouse). RNAcentral also lists the same sequence under 1 other name. Lineage: Eukaryota; Metazoa; Chordata; Mammalia; Rodentia; Muridae. The record is from RNAcentral.
UUAAGAGCUGAAUUAGAUGGAACUGCAUGU